RNAcentral lists this ribosomal RNA (251 nucleotides) under uncultured bacterium. Its description in RNAcentral is "partial 16S ribosomal RNA". It matches the Rfam family "Bacterial small subunit ribosomal RNA", at positions 524 to 776 of the family's 1533-position model. The record is from RNAcentral.
UACAGAGACUGCAAGCGUUAUUCGGAUUCACUGGGCGUAAAGGGUGCGCAGGCGGCCGUGUGUGAGGCGUGAAAGCCCGGGGCUUAACCCCGGAAUUGCACCUCAAACUACAUGGCUAGAGCAUUGGAGAGGGUAGCGGAAUUCACGGUGUAGCAGUGAAAUGCGUAGAUAUCGUGAGGAACACCAGAGGCGAAGGCGGCUACCUGGACAAUUGCUGACGCUCAGGCACGAAAGCGUGGGGAGCAAAAGGG